CCACCUGCAGUUGAAAGGGGAGGGGAGGGGAGGGAGGCGGAAGUAGAAGUGCCGCAGUGGUGAGGAAACGAAAAUGACCAUUCAAGAUUUGACGCCGACGACGACGACGACGAUGCGAGAAGGAGAAAAGAGGAGAGCGGGCGGGCGGGCGCGAGGGCGGCAACCAAGGCGUGGCGAUCGAUCGAAGGAACGAGCGCUCCCGUGGCGGGCACUCGGCACUAAGCCCCUAAACCUAGGCGCGCCUGGAACCUAAAGGGGAACAAAUAUCCGGCCAGCUCGCCACGGACAACGUCCGGAACCCUAAGCCGGACCUAGCCGCGUCUAGACCUCCGUGUACUCCGCCGCCGCGGCCGCCCACUCGUAUGCUCCUACACUUCGCUGAACAUCUCCCUCUUCAUCGCCUCAGUCGCUACCCCACGAACCCGCCACUCCGCUGAGCCCCGCGACUAGGACCUGCGUGGACACCGCGGCCUCCUCUACCUCCUGCACCGGCACCGACGCGAGCGGUGCCGCGGGUGUGGACACAAAUCGGGGCGGUGCCGGCCCGAGUGCGAUUAGCGGCGGCGCCGACGCCUUGGCUAACGCCGGCAACACCGCCCGCGGUACCUCCCCCACGGCCAGUGGAAAAGUCACGGCGGCCAGUCUUGGUGGUGCCUACUGCCCGACGGUCGCCGUUGUCCUCCCCUUCCCCCUCUCCGCAGCCGUCGCCCCUCGGGCACGAGCCAGUGGUCGCUGACGUCGUCGCACCGUUCGCGCCUAAAGCUUCCCCACCCAGACCCGAAGAAGCCACGCCCCCAGCUCCCCCCUCGCCACCACAAGCUCCUGAGCCGCCGAAGACGCCGGUGGCAGCUCCGCCUCCGCUCCCAGCGCCGGCCCCCCUCCUCGCAGAAGCGACAGCUUACGCAAGGUGAGACCCCCAAAUGUAGUUAAACGCCGGCGGCGGGCCUCUACCUCCUACGCCAGUAGCGACACGGCGCUAAGAAGCCGAACGGGGAGACCUACGAGUGCCCGUUGUUAUACCAGCUACCUGAGCUAGGGUAGAGGAAGGCGGAGGGGCGCGUGAAAAAACCACAUAUACUACCGGUGCCGCCACGUGUCCAUCGUCUAAUGACAGCCCUAGCCGAGGUGCGUCGCGACCACCUCCUCGACUCGUCCUAUCUUCCCAGGCACAGACCACGAUUGGACCCUCGACACCUCAAGUUCUUCGUCACCCUCUUCCGCAAACACCUAACGAAGAGUUCCCACCUACUACUCUAUCGGCCAUUCCACUGGUCGCCUCCUCCCCCUUUGCACCCGUGUUCGUCACAGUGACGUUACCCGUACCAUCUAGGACAUCGUGGGCUCUGGCAGCCAAGUUGCCGCCACCAGCGACAGUAGACGAGGAGAGUAUAGUAACAGAGUUUAACACCUCUGAGCUCCCGUCACGAGACGGCACCGUUCGUUGGGCACGGCAACAGUCACCUAGUAUUUGGAUUAUCCCUCCUACUCAUGCGUUCCUAACUCCGUCUCCCACCGUUCCAGUAUGUCACCUUACCGAUGGCUCAAAAGCCACAGGAACGGUACAGCGCCAGUUAACCACUGUCUAUAGACUUUGGUACCUAUUAAGGACAGGGUCUCCAGUGUUAACAAGGAGCUCGUUUCCUACUGCUCACAGAAUAAGAGCGAUCACUACCGGAGACCCUACAUGACAGCUUACUUCUCCAUACGCUACAACGGGCGUUCGCUUAUGAGAAUACCGUAUUUUUCUUACCCCAUUUGAACAGUAGCCGGGUUGCAUCGCCACUGAGGGGUCUAGGUCGCCGAGUUCGUCGACGACUUACGAACAGCUUCGAACGAGAGGUCUUCCCCUCGUUCCUGUUGUAGUGCCAAUAACACCAUCUGGAGUUCCGCGUCUCCUUCAAGUUCUCGUUUUGAAUUCAGUAGAACGAACUAACUGUCGGAGAUACUGUUUAAGGAUCCUUAGAUAUAUCUAAACCUCUUAGGUUUAAGCUAGUCAAAUCUGACAACACAAUCAUGUAAUGAAUCGGGUCAAGCAAGAAAAGAAGGAAAAGUGGUAAACCCGACGGUUCCCGACAUAAGAACAUAUGUCAUGUCUAAUGCUUUAAGGCGUAGUCCCAAAUACAAAGGACCACCGCACCCACUAGGACAAAAGACAAGAAGGAAACGACGGGGAAUAAGAAAAACAAUUCGACCCGGUAGUACAUAGACCUUUACAUAUAAACUCGGACAUCCCACGUUUUCCUUGAUCCUCAUAAAACAUGACGGAAGGGA
This 2271-nucleotide ribosomal RNA is filed under the name Triticum aestivum (bread wheat). RNAcentral describes it as "partial small subunit ribosomal RNA". Lineage: Eukaryota; Viridiplantae; Streptophyta; Magnoliopsida; Poales; Poaceae. The record is from RNAcentral.